UGCUAUCUCAGACCAAACCGGUAGUGUAUUUUCCAAACACCAAGUCUUGGAGAACAAGAUUAUGCUGCAUGUAUAACAACUAAAGAAGAUGCCCAGACAACGUUAAUGGAAAAUGAGCAUUUUCUGCUGGUGUUUAAAGUGGAUCUGCACACACUCUCUCAUGGUUACAUAGGAGACUAACUACAUGUUAAGCUUAUACAAACUUGAAAAUUCCUUGACUAAUAGACACUAGAUUGCCAACCAUAUUAAUUCAUAAUGGACAUGUGUGACCAGAAACUUAAAAUGUAAGGAAUAAAGUAUUUUUCCAUUGGCAAA
This is a long non-coding RNA of Mastomys coucha (southern multimammate mouse), 315 nucleotides long. RefSeq lists it as uncharacterized. The record is from RefSeq and is a predicted model, not a curated record. NCBI's taxonomy places the organism in Eukaryota, Metazoa, Chordata, Mammalia, Rodentia, Muridae. The transcript has 2 exons.